Molecule: ribosomal RNA, 253 nt
Filed under: uncultured bacterium
Lineage: Bacteria
Description: partial 16S ribosomal RNA
Rfam family: Bacterial small subunit ribosomal RNA
Source: RNAcentral
UACGGAGGGUGCAAGCGUUAUCCGGAUUCACUGGGUUUAAAGGGUGCGUAGGUGGGUUGGUAAGUCAGUGGUGAAAUCCCCGAGCUUAACUUGGGAACUGCCAUUGAUACUAUCAGUCUUGAAUACUGUGGAGGUUAGCGGAAUAUGUCAUGUAGCGGUGAAAUGCUUAGAUAUGACAUAGAACACCAAUUGCGAAGGCAGCUGGCUACACAAAUAUUGACACUGAGGCUCGAAAGCGUGGGGAUCAAACAGG